GAACGCGAAGAACCUUACCAAGUCUUGACAUCCUUUGACCACUCUAGAGAUAGAGCUUUCCCUUCGGGGACAAAGUGACAGGUGGUGCAUGGUUGUCGUCAGCUCGUGUCGUGAGAUGUUGGGUUAAGUCCCGCAACGAGCGCAACCCUUAUUACUAGUUGCCAGCAUUGAGUUGGGCACUCUAGUGAGACUGCCGGUGACAAACCGGAGGAAGGUGGGGAUGACGUCAAAUCAUCAUGCCCCUUAUGACUUGGGCUACACACGUGCUACAAUGGAUGGUACAACGAGCAGCGAACUCGCGAGGGUAAGCGAAUCUCUUAAAGCCAUUCUCAGUUCGGAUUGUAGGCUGCAACUCGCCUACAUGAAGUCGGAAUCGCUAGUAAUCGCGGAUCAGCACGCCGCGGUGAAUACGUUCCCGGGUCUUGUACACACC
Molecule: ribosomal RNA, 433 nt
Filed under: uncultured bacterium
Lineage: Bacteria
Description: bacterial SSU rRNA
Rfam family: Bacterial small subunit ribosomal RNA
Source: RNAcentral